Molecule: non-coding RNA, 48 nt
Filed under: Trypanosoma brucei brucei
Lineage: Eukaryota; Euglenozoa; Kinetoplastea; Trypanosomatida; Trypanosomatidae
Source: RNAcentral
UAUCCAUACACAGAAGAUUAAAUAGACGUAUAAAGUGAAUAAUUGAUU